RNAcentral lists this long non-coding RNA (669 nucleotides) under Coturnix japonica (Japanese quail). RNAcentral's name for it is "lncRNA (ENSCJPG00005012521.1)". Lineage: Eukaryota; Metazoa; Chordata; Aves; Galliformes; Phasianidae. The record is from RNAcentral.
GUUAAUCAUCAGAUGACGUGGAGCAAGAACAGGCUUACAUUGCUUGCAGAGUACCUGGAAGUAUCUGGUGAUGGUAAAGAUGGAAGGACACAGAAGGAAGACACCUGUGGUUUACCUGGUGGAGUGAAGCUGCUUAGCAGGAGGCAUAAUGAAUAGGAAGCAACCAAGUCUAGAUCUCAAGGCACCAGAAUGGCUAUUCCUUUACUGUGAAUUCAUCACGUGUCCUUAAUGACGUCAGCCUGUUUCUUGGAAGAAUACUUGCUAAUUAACUUACCCCCCUGCUGUGCUGUCUGGAAAAGAGCCUCUCACCCUGGAGAACCAAAGAAUUACAGGAUGUAGUGGUAGCUGUUGCAUUUCAUGUCUUUUCAGCAGCAUGAUGGAUUUAACUCACCCUUGUCUGACUAUUUGGAUUCUGGAGAACACAGUAUGAAUGAUUUCCAUCGGGUCUAAGCAAUGUCUCAUCGGAGACCUAAAUUACAUGACAGAACUCCUUUAAGGGAAAGGGAAAAUUAAUACCACCCUCUAUAAAUUAUCUGGAACAAACAAACUAGUUGCUCAAACUUGUUGUACUCUUGCCAGGAGUCAUAAACUAGCUAGCUGUGUUUAAGAAAAGUAGAAACUGUUUUUCCUACCAUGGAAUAAACAGUCUCUGGGUUCUAUUCCUAACCA